AUGGGAAUUGGCCCAGCCGUUGCAAUCCCAGCUGCUGUUAAGUCUGCUGGUCUUGAGCUGAACAAUAUUGAUCUUUUUGAAAUAAAUGAGGCAUUUGCAUCCCAAUAUGUCUAUUGCCAAAAGAAACUCAAUCUUGACCCUGAAAAUGUUAAUGUGAAUGGAGGGGCAUUGGCUCUUGGUCAUCCUCUUGGUGCUACAGGUGCACGUUGUGUGGCAACUCUGCUUCAUGAGAUGAAACGCCGUGGCAAAGAUUGUCGUUUUGGAGUGAUAUCAAUGUGCAUAGGCACUGGGAUGGGAGCUGCAGCUGUGUUUGAGAGGGGUGAUUGUGUUGAUGAGCUUUGCAAUGCUAAGAAAGUUGAAGGAGGAGUCAAUCUUCUCUCUAAGGAUGCUCGUUAGGACAAAACUUCAUACCUCUUUCAACAAGGAAUAGAAUCACUCAAUAAAAGGCUACACACUUCUAUGGAGAUUUUGAUUAUUUAUUUGGUUGUAAUGCGAGCACUUCCCACCCUGUUUUUUCCAUUUUGGAUACACGAGUUUUAUUUUAGUGUCUUUUGAUUUGUUUCCAAAAAGGGGUUGCAAGUUCAUCCUUUGUUAUGGAGUGUUGUCCAAACAAUUUGAUGAUCGUAUAACGAAGUCACGUUUGGUUUGAAUUCAA
This 655-nucleotide unclassified non-coding RNA is filed under the name Hevea brasiliensis (rubber tree). The record is from RNAcentral. Lineage: Eukaryota; Viridiplantae; Streptophyta; Magnoliopsida; Malpighiales; Euphorbiaceae.